UGGGUAGUAUCUCUUUUCGGGAACUGCACCGCCGAUGGAAUUAUUAUUAAAGACAGUAUUUCAUAUUGGUGUCAUGCGACCCGCUUGGAGCCUAAUCGGACCGAGACGGAAGG
Molecule: regulatory RNA element, 113 nt
Organism: Thermincola sp.
Lineage: Bacteria; Bacillati; Bacillota; Clostridia; Eubacteriales; Thermincolaceae
Rfam family: pan motif
Source: Rfam